AGCGCAAUGCGGGGCUCCAUCCCAGGACCCCGGGAUCAUGACCUGAGCCGAGGGCAGACGCUUAGCGAACGGGCCCCCGGCAGCCCUGAGCUGUGUCCGUCACAGCCAAGCGAGAACUGUAAGGGCUGCGCUUUCAGGGAGUUCUGCGAGUCGUCCUGGGACAUGCAGGAACCCCAAAUUCAGAGCUGGCAUCUAUGGGGGUGGUCCUGUGGGCUACCCUGUGGGGCAGGUCUGCACUGAGCGCAAGCGUUUUCUUCUGGGCAUCAAUGCACAUGCACCCAAACAGAGGCCCAACGAGUCACACACGGUCUGUGGCGGUCUGUUGUUUCACUUUUCAUUAAGAGCACGGACAUCACAUCAGUAAACCUCCGCCAACACCACGGCCUGCAAGGACCUCAGGGUCCCCUGACAAGGCUGCUCUGGGCACGGAGUCCUGCGGUCCUUCCAGGAAGAUGGCACACAAGCCUGCGGACAGUGCAACCGCCGGUGGGCCCCUGGACUGGCACUUUCCAGGUUCCUUCCUGCGGACGGAACGCCUCACCGUACAGUGUCUGAAGUGAAGGGGACUACUGCCCCCCGGCUAACCGACCUUCCGUUUCAACGGUGCUUCAAAACAAAGGAAUAAACAGGAAAAGGACAUAAAACAAUACA
This is a long non-coding RNA of Lutra lutra (Eurasian river otter), 651 nucleotides long. RefSeq lists it as uncharacterized. NCBI's taxonomy places the organism in Eukaryota, Metazoa, Chordata, Mammalia, Carnivora, Mustelidae. The record is from RefSeq and is a predicted model, not a curated record. The transcript is spliced from 3 exons.